RNAcentral lists this microRNA (22 nucleotides) under Monodelphis domestica (gray short-tailed opossum). RNAcentral describes it as "mdo-miR-7349-3p". The record is from miRBase by way of RNAcentral. Lineage: Eukaryota; Metazoa; Chordata; Mammalia; Didelphimorphia; Didelphidae.
GUAUUUAAUUCAGUCCAACAGC